Long non-coding RNA from Malania oleifera, 626 nucleotides. RefSeq lists it as uncharacterized. The record is from RefSeq and is a predicted model, not a curated record. NCBI's taxonomy places the organism in Eukaryota, Viridiplantae, Streptophyta, Magnoliopsida, Santalales, Ximeniaceae. The transcript has 2 exons.
UUGGUGGAGAAGAUUCAAUCUUCCUCUUCACCUUUCUCCAUCACAGGUCAGUGAAAAAAAAAAAUGGAGGUCUUUGCAGGACCUCACCAGGAAACCACUCUCGCGGCUAAGAGAUCUAACACGAACACGAUCAGUAGCUGUGCGCGAUCUUCACGAGGAAGCAACUCGAGGAGCUGGUAUGGCGGCGCAUGAAGCCUCUGCGACUGUUGUCCCAGCUUCGUCUCGACGUCGCCGAACCCGAAGAUAGGAUGGAAAGUGUAGUUCAUGUCUACAAAGCUACAUAGCACCUUUGCUCUAAAAAUGGUUCGUGAUGAUGGCCAACCGUUCCUUGGCUUCUGGAUGGAAUACCUUUUAUUAUUAAUGGGUUCAUCUAAGGUUGAUGUGGAAGUCGAGCUAAAAGCUAAGAGGCAACUAGCAAUUGGGCAGGAGAAGACUACGACAGUGUUGCAGCCAAGUUAGUGGGUGAAGGGUAGGUGGUUGAAUUUACCAAACGGGGUUAAUGGUCUCCAUUUCUACAAUUAAACGUUUUGCUCGUCUAACAAUGGAGCUGAUCACGACCAUUCAUUCUGUGUUUCCUUGUCAAACUUCUGAAUAAAUCAAUGAAUUUUUUUUUAAAUCCCAAACAA